UCCAGGGUAGCCUAGUGGACAUGGCAUCUGCCUGGUAAGCGGAACAUUGUAGGUUCGAUACCCAUCUCUGGAC
RNAcentral lists this transfer RNA (73 nucleotides) under Cordylochernes scorpioides. RNAcentral's name for it is "tRNA-Thr". It matches the Rfam family "tRNA". From Rfam's summary of the family: Transfer RNA (tRNA) molecules are approximately 80 nucleotides in length. Their secondary structure includes four short double-helical elements and three loops (D, anti-codon, and T loops). Further hydrogen bonds mediate the characteristic L-shaped molecular structure. tRNAs have two regions of fundamental functional importance: the anti-codon, which is responsible for specific mRNA codon recognition, and the 3' end, to which the tRNAs corresponding amino acid is attached (by aminoacyl-tRNA synthetases). tRNAs cope with the degeneracy of the genetic code in two manners: having more than one tRNA (with a specific anti-codon) for a particular amino acid; and 'wobble' base-pairing, i.e. permitting non-standard base-pairing at the 3rd anti-codon position. The record is from RNAcentral. Lineage: Eukaryota; Metazoa; Arthropoda; Arachnida; Pseudoscorpiones; Chernetidae.